RNAcentral lists this long non-coding RNA (610 nucleotides) under Homo sapiens (human). RNAcentral describes it as "HSALNT0376325". The record is from RNAcentral. Lineage: Eukaryota; Metazoa; Chordata; Mammalia; Primates; Hominidae.
GAAGACUUCUGUUGGGCUGGCGAGAAGAGAAGGGGCCGAAACUUGCUUUUUGCUGAAAGGAAGAGAAAUCACAGAGUUGCAAAUCCUCCCUGCUCAGCUUCAUCAGCACUUAAUACCAUUUGCUCGAGCUCCUGGGUGAGAGCUACAAAACUAGUCCCUGAGCCCAGUGGGAGGAUCCACUAGUCCACACCCUCGACCUCUGUCAGCCUCUUCAGCCCCUUCUCGCUUGAGGAGAAUGUGAUCGUUGUUACAGGCAUCAGAAAAAGGCAAGUUGGGGAAGGCAUACAAGUACCAACUAGGUGUCUCUUUCUCCAAGGAGCUCCACAAAAUAUUCCAUCCAGAGUGCAGAUGAUGGUAGGUAGUCUUUAAUUUACACAGGUGUCUUCCCAGUAGGUUUACGGGAGAAUCAAGAGAAUGAAAGAACACAUGUUCCUCAGUCAGAGGGCCUAUCUGUAUGGGAACUGCCAGCGAAAAGUAACAAGUAGAAAGUUUACCCGGAAAAUCAACAACCUGCAUUGAUCUAUCACCAGAUGAAAAUUGGGAAAUUUCAGAGGAACUUGAAGCAUAAGUAGCACCAAAGGGCCGGGGGCAGUGGCUCACGCCUAUAAUC